RNAcentral lists this ribosomal RNA (301 nucleotides) under uncultured Prevotella sp. RNAcentral describes it as "bacterial SSU rRNA". It matches the Rfam family "Bacterial small subunit ribosomal RNA", at positions 355 to 653 of the family's 1533-position model. Lineage: Bacteria; Pseudomonadati; Bacteroidota; Bacteroidia; Bacteroidales; Prevotellaceae. The record is from RNAcentral.
UGAGGAAUAUUGGUCAAUGGGCGAGAGCCUGAACCAGCCAAGUAGCGUGCAGGACGACGGCCCUAUGGGUUGUAAACUGCUUUUAUAAGGGAAUAAAGUGGGUCACGUGUGACUUUUUGCAUGUACCUUAUGAAUAAGGACCGGCUAAUUCCGUGCCAGCAGCCGCGGUAAUACGGAAGGUCCGGGCGUUAUCCGGAUUUAUUGGGUUUAAAGGGAGCGUAGGCCGGAGAUUAAGCGUGUUGUGAAAUGUAGUGGCUCAACCUCUGCACUGCAGCGCGAACUGGUCUUCUUGAGUACGCAC